AUGUCACGGAGAACCACUCCCCUUCAGGAUGCCAUUAAUCACAUCCUUGCAAGAAGAGACAAGAAUUCAAUGUUAGAAAUCAAAUUUAUUAAUUCAGUUAAAGGUCGUGGCAUCUUCACUUUAGCCAAUUUCAAACAAGGAGACUUUGUGGUCGAGUAUAGAGGGGAGCUUAUUGAUGCAACUGAAGCUGAACACAGACGUAACCUGUACCCCAGCGCAUGUUCAGUCUUCAUGUUUGAAUUCGUAUGGAAGCAGAAGACAUUGUGGUAAAUUCAAAAUGACUGAAUGUUUACAUUUCUAUUGCAAGGUCAGGAUUUCUGAAGCAAACAUCUCAUAUUGCUCUUUAACGAGUCCUUACCUCUAGUACCCGGCCCCGUCAGUCCCCAGAAUCUAUAGAAGGGGGAGUGACAGACCCGUGGAAUAGCGGGAUCUCAUUCUUACUAAGGCUCCGUCAUUUCCCGGUGACCCUGUGGUCCCCGGGAACUCGCGGUACUGGGGACUGACGGGACUCCCACAUAUGCUGAGGGCCCGUUAGUCCCCGUAUUCGCCACUCACGGGCGUAAUGUACGGGGUUAGAGGGGUAAUAAUAUAAGCCUACAUUUUACAGCUAAGACAGUGUGCUCACGCUGCUGUGAAGAUUUAAAAUAUAAUAUAGAGAUAGAGAAAAUAAUAAGAAAAUUCAAAUGGCCAGGGCUGAAUGAGCGGCCCUGUGUCUGUGCGCAUUUGGCACAUGUGGACACGGAGACUCGUGCACUGUUAUACUGUGUCCAAAACUACUGUAUAACAUGUACAAUGCCAAAAUAGUACAUGUCAAGUGUUCUCUGUCUGUGAGGUAGGUAGAUGGAUGGCUUGAUGGAUAGGUGAAAAACCUUUCAACACAAAAAAUAAAGAACAUUUCAUUAAUCAUUCAGAUAAAUUAAAUGCAUUAUACAGAAGACAAAUGAAAUAACAAAAAUAUACACUUCAGUAAAGCCACUUUUGUCUAAACUAUCAUUUAUCCUAGUUUUAGUUUUACAUUCAUUAGUUUUUAAAUCAGGUGAGUAAUUUCAAACAACGAAGAUGAAAUAAACUGGUCUACCUUGCAUUUUUUUACACUUUCUGUAACAAUUACAUUUUUAAAGUAUACAUUUUAGAGUUUACAAAUAUUUUAAUAAAGACUUUAACCAAGGAUUUUCUUUUACAAAGAAUUAUUUUCCUUAAAUUAAACCAAACAUAUUUACACUAGUUUUAAGAUUUAACCAAGGAUUUGGGGUAAUUACUUUUAGUAUUAAUUAACAUAAAUGUGUGGGAAACACUAUCUACAUAAACAAUUUAUUCAAACUUAAACAUUUAUUUUAAUAUCAAUAUAAUUUUUUAAACUUAAAUGCAGUAACUAUUUCCCAAAGCAUAAAUACAUUUCCACAAUUGAGCUUCCAUAGUUCCCAAACAUAUAAGCAGCAAAUAUGAGUCCGAGCUUACCGAUAGCCCGUCUAACUCAGUCUUCCUCACAGUGGAAAGUGGAUUGUGCUUGGUUUGCUGUCCUCUCAGUAUGUCGCACUCGAGUCAAAUGACUGCUGCAUGCAUUUUAAGGUCUACUAGGCACGCCCGCCCUUGAUUGCUCUAAUUCAACUCACCUGGCGGAGCAGUGCGCACCAGGCUGCGCUUAGCUGUAGAUUGCACAAGGUCUAAUCAGCGGCCACGCGCAGCAGCACAGAGCAGGUAGUGGGCAAGAGGAGGAAAAGAAGAGAAGAGAAGAGUAACAGCCACACCUACUAGGUCAGCGCGACAGUACAACAAAACCACGUUUAAGCUCUAAGCACAAGUAGAAGCGCAAACACUUAUCUCAGUCAGAAAGCAACGCGUCCUUGAUUGAUGGACCCUCUUUAACUUAUCAACUAUGCAUUUAACAACUAAACUUGUAUUGGAUGUUGUGUUUGUGUUGCUGCUUAAAAAUUAUAGUAUAGUUCAUAGGCGUGUCACUAUAAAUGUUUGUUUAAUGUAUGUUUCCAAAUUUGCAGUAUUGAUGGAGCACUUGAAGAUGGGUCAUUUGGGCGACUAGUAAACGAUGAACACAGGACAACAAAUUGCAGAAUGAAGUUGAUUGAAGCAGAAGGGAAGCCACAUCUCUGCCUUUUUGCACUGAAGGAAAUUGCGGCAGGAAGUGAAAUUACUUAUGACUAUGGUGGGAAAGAAUGGCCCUGGCGGAAAAAGGUGGGUCAUUUAAAAAAAAUUUUCCCCCUAUGAAUUGUUGUUUAAAACCUACAUAUCUAGAUGUCACAAUUAGGGCUGCAAUUAGGGUCGAUUAAUCGAUUAGAUGUUUCA
Oreochromis niloticus (Nile tilapia) is the source of this 2301-nucleotide long non-coding RNA. Lineage: Eukaryota; Metazoa; Chordata; Actinopteri; Cichliformes; Cichlidae. The record is from Ensembl.